GACGAACGCUGGCGGCGUGCCUAAUACAUGCAAGUCGAGCGAAGUUUUUCUGGUGCUUGCACUAGAAAAACUUAGCGGCGAACGGGUGAGUAACACGUAAAGAACCUGCCUCAUAGACUGGGACAACUAUUGGAAACGAUAGCUAAUACCGGAUGACAGUAUUUCUCGCAUGAGAGAUAUUUAAAAGUUGGUUAUGCUAACACUAUGAGAUGGCUUUGCGGUGCAUUAGCUAGUUGGUGGGGUAAAGGCCCACCAAGGCGACGAUGCAUAGCCGACCUGAGAGGGUGAUCGGCCACACUGGGACUGAGACACGGCCCAGACUCCUACGGGAGGCAGCAGUAGGGAAUCUUCCGCAAUGGGCGAAAGCCUGACGGAGCAACGCCGCGUGAGUGAAGAAGGA
RNAcentral lists this ribosomal RNA (400 nucleotides) under Gemella morbillorum. RNAcentral's name for it is "bacterial SSU rRNA". It matches the Rfam family "Bacterial small subunit ribosomal RNA", at positions 28 to 415 of the family's 1533-position model. The record is from RNAcentral. Lineage: Bacteria; Bacillati; Bacillota; Bacilli; Caryophanales; Gemellaceae.